Molecule: long non-coding RNA, 217 nt
Filed under: Setaria italica (foxtail millet)
Lineage: Eukaryota; Viridiplantae; Streptophyta; Magnoliopsida; Poales; Poaceae
Description: long non-coding RNA (SITA_LNC003721)
Source: RNAcentral
UUAAGACCUCUUGCCUUGCAAGCUGUAAUGAAGUGUGAACAUGGAAGGUGCAACAAUUGAGGAACAUUGCAGGUGCACGAAACUUCGUUCAGAUCCACUCUGUAGUGUCGGCCUCCAUGACUCUCACCCCCAAUGUUAGUCGUACCGUAACUUCUUAUAGAAUACACCAUCCUUUCUGGCCCGUACGGUUCUGCUAAGUGGUGCACGGAUCUAAGCU